AACGAACGCUGGCGGCAUGCCUAACACAUGCAAGUCGAACGAGACCUUCGGGUCUAGUGGCGCACGGGUGCGUAACGCGUGGGAACCUGCCCUUAGGUUCGGAAUAACUCCCCGAAAGGGGUGCUAAUACCGGAUAAUGUCUUCGGACCAAAGAUUUAUCGCCUUUGGAUGGGCCCGCGUUGGAUUAGCUAGUUGGUAGGGUAAAAGCCUACCAAGGCGACGAUCCAUAGCUGGUCUGAGAGGAUGAUCAGCCACACUGGGACUGAGACACGGCCCAGACCCCCAGGGGGGGAAGGAGUGGGGAAUUUGGGAAAAGGGGCGAAACCCUGAUCCAGCAAGGCCGGGGGGGGGAAGAAGGCCUUGGGGUUGUAAAGCUUUUUUACCCGGGAGAAAAAUGAAGGAACCGGGAAAAAAAGCCCCGGCAAACCCCGG
RNAcentral lists this ribosomal RNA (432 nucleotides) under uncultured bacterium. RNAcentral describes it as "partial 16S ribosomal RNA". It matches the Rfam family "Bacterial small subunit ribosomal RNA", at positions 29 to 506 of the family's 1533-position model. The record is from RNAcentral.